This 253-nucleotide ribosomal RNA is filed under the name uncultured bacterium. RNAcentral describes it as "partial 16S ribosomal RNA". It matches the Rfam family "Bacterial small subunit ribosomal RNA", at positions 524 to 776 of the family's 1533-position model. The record is from RNAcentral.
UACGGAGGGAGCUAGCGUUGUUCGGAAUUACUGGGCGUAAAGCGCACGUAGGCGGCUAUUCAAGUCGGGGGUGAAAGCCCGGGGCUCAACCCCGGAACUGCCCUCGAAACUAGAUAGCUAGAAUCUUGGAGAGGCGAGUGGAAUUCCGAGUGUAGAGGUGAAAUUCGUAGAUAUUCGCAAGAACACCAGUGGCGAAGGCGGCUCACUGGCCCGGUACUGACGCUGAGGUGCGAAAGCGUGGGGAGCAAACAGG